UGUUAAGAGCUCUGUGGGAUGUUGU
RNAcentral lists this non-coding RNA (25 nucleotides) under Mus musculus (house mouse). Lineage: Eukaryota; Metazoa; Chordata; Mammalia; Rodentia; Muridae. The record is from RNAcentral.